Molecule: ribosomal RNA, 490 nt
Filed under: uncultured bacterium
Lineage: Bacteria
Description: partial 16S ribosomal RNA
Rfam family: Bacterial small subunit ribosomal RNA
Source: RNAcentral
AUUGAACGCUGGCGGCAGGCUUAACACAUGCAAGUCGAGCGGUAGCACAGGGGAGCUUGCUCCCUGGGUGACGAGCGGCGGACGGGUGAGUAAUGUCUGGGAAACUGCCUGAUGGAGGGGGAUAACUACUGGAAACGGUAGCUAAUACCGCAUAACGUCGCAAGACCAAAGAGGGGGACCUUCGGGCCUCUUGCCAUCAGAUGUGCCCAGAUGGGAUUAGCUAGUAGGUGGGGUAACGGCUCACCUAGGCGACGAUCCCUAGCUGGUCUGAGAGGAUGGCCAGCCACACUGGAACUGAGACACGGUCCAGACUCCUACGGGAGGCAGCAGUGGGGAAUAUUGCACAAUGGGCGCAAGCCUGAUGCAGCCAUGCCGCGUGUGUGAAGAAGGCCUUCGGGUUGUAAAGCACUUUCAGCGAGGAGGAAGGUGGUGAGCUUAAUACGUUCAUCAAUUGACGUUACUCGCAGAAGAAGCACCGGCUAACUCCGUG